UGCCCAAUGACUAACCAACACUCGAGACUAAUAAAAAUGAAAACUCGUACGUCUUGCAACUAAAACAAUCUUCCCCAUCAUUAUACAAAUAUCACAAUCUGUAUAUUGUAUCAAUAUCAGAUGAAGCAUAAUUGCAGAUGUUAAACAGGAACAACCAACAUCAAUAUAAGGCUUCAAAUCGUCAGGUUGAAGAUCCUCCAUAACGGCGCACAAGAAUAGCCCGAUACAGGGUGCCAACAUGAAGGAAAAAGAUAAGGGCUAUAAUGACAUCAUCCAAUAGACCAAGUACUCCAAACAAUGCUGUCAAAAAUCAAAAUAACCAACAUUUUAUCAAACAUAUAUUUGAGUUGAUAUAUAUUGAUUUGUGAAGCGGGCUUGAAGCAACGUACCUUCGGGUAUAAUGUCCACAGGGCUAAGUACAUAAAUGGCAGUUGAUAUUAGCUGUCCAGAUAUACGCGUGCUUUAAUGACAAACGGGAGAGAUCUUUGAGGAUCCAUCAGUUCUCGAAACAACCUUUUGAGA
Molecule: long non-coding RNA, 522 nt
Filed under: Helianthus annuus (common sunflower)
Lineage: Eukaryota; Viridiplantae; Streptophyta; Magnoliopsida; Asterales; Asteraceae
Description: sRNA HanXRQr2_Chr02g0052571
Source: RNAcentral